CGUACGUUACGUUAACGUUAACGUUAACGUUAACGUUAACGUUAACGUUAACGUUAACUUAACGUUAACGUUAACGUUAACGUUAACGUUAACGUUAACGUUAACGUUAACGUUAACGUUAACGUUUAAACGUUUAAACGUUUAAACG
Molecule: non-coding RNA, 148 nt
Filed under: Atta cephalotes
Lineage: Eukaryota; Metazoa; Arthropoda; Insecta; Hymenoptera; Formicidae
Source: RNAcentral